GUGCCGCGGCUGAGGGCUGUCGGGCCGCGGGCUCAGGCUCAAGUCCAGGCCGGGCUCGGGCACUGGGGCUCGGAGUUCCGGGACUUGGGGCUCCGGGGGUGGCCCCGGGACCGCCGCGGCUUCUUCCCCGUCCGCCGACUCCAGCUCUGACUCCCCACAACCCAUCAUCUUUGGAAGAAGUGCUGUGGAACAUCAGAUAGAAUGGAUAGCAUAGCCCAAAUUUUACAAAAAGGAUUUUAAAGGAAGAUCUCAAUGGUUAAACACUACAGGCUUUCCUGCUAAAGUUAAGAACAAGAAAGU
Molecule: non-coding RNA, 300 nt
Filed under: Pongo abelii (Sumatran orangutan)
Lineage: Eukaryota; Metazoa; Chordata; Mammalia; Primates; Hominidae
Source: RNAcentral